Molecule: ribosomal RNA, 401 nt
Filed under: uncultured Gammaproteobacteria bacterium
Lineage: Bacteria; Pseudomonadati; Pseudomonadota; Gammaproteobacteria
Description: bacterial SSU rRNA
Rfam family: Bacterial small subunit ribosomal RNA
Source: RNAcentral
GAUCUCCUACGGGAGGCAGCAGUGGGGAAUAUUGACAAUGGGCGCAAGCUUGAUCCAGCCAUGCCGCGUGUGUGAAGAAGGCCUUCGGGUUGUAAAGCACUUUCAGCGAGGAGGAAAGGUUGUAGCUUAAUACGCUGCAGCUGUGACGUUACUCGCAGAAGAAGCACCGGCUAACUCCGUGCCAGCAGCCGCGGUAAUACGGAGGGUGCGAGCGUUAAUCGGAAUUACUGGGCGUAAAGCGCACGCAGGCGGUUUGUUAAGCUAGAUGUGAAAGCCCCGGGCUCAACCUGGGAUGGUCAUUUAGAACUGGCAGACUAGAGUCUUGGAGAGGGGAGUGGAAUUCCAGGUGUACGCGGUGAAAUGCGUAGAUAUCUGGAGGAACACCAGUGGCGAAAGCGACA